RNAcentral lists this ribosomal RNA (454 nucleotides) under uncultured Prevotella sp. Its description in RNAcentral is "partial 16S ribosomal RNA". It matches the Rfam family "Bacterial small subunit ribosomal RNA", at positions 341 to 792 of the family's 1533-position model. The record is from RNAcentral. Lineage: Bacteria; Pseudomonadati; Bacteroidota; Bacteroidia; Bacteroidales; Prevotellaceae.
ACGGGAGGCAGCAGUGAGGAAUAUUGGUCAAUGGACGGAAGUCUGAACCAGCCAAGUAGCGUGCAGGAUGACGGCCCUAUGGGUUGUAAACUGCUUUUAUAUGGGGAUAAAAAAGAGUACGUGUACUUUCUUGCAGGUACCAUAUGAAUAAGGACCGGCUAAUUCCGUGCCAGCAGCCGCGGUAAUACGGAAGGUCCGGGCGUUAUCCGGAUUUAUUGGGUUUAAAGGGUGCGUAGGCUGUGCUGCAAGUCAGGGGUGAAAGCCCGGCGCCUAACGCCGGAACUGCCUUUGAUACUGCAGCGCUGGAAUACGGAUGCCGUGGGAGGAAUGAGUAGUGUAGCGGUGAAAUGCAUAGAUAUUACUCAGAACACCGAUUGCGAAGGCAUCUCACGAAUCCGUCAUUGACGCUGAGGCACGAAAGCGUGGGGAUCAAACAGGAUUAGAUACCCUGGUA